AACGAACGCUGGCGGCAGGCUUAACACAUGCAAGUCGAACGCAUCCUUCGGGGUGAGUGGCAGACGGGUGAGUAACGCGUGGGAACGUGCCCUUCAGUUCGGGAUAACCCAGGGAAACUUGGGCUAAUACCGGAUACGUGCGAGAGCAGAAAGAUUUAUCGCUGAAGGAUCGGCCCGCGUCUGAUUAGCUAGUUGGUGGGGUAAUGGCCCACCAAGGCGACGAUCAGUAGCUGGUCUGAGAGGAUGAUCAGCCACAUUGGGACUGAGACACGGGCCCAACCUCCUGCGGGAGGAGGAGGGGGGGAAUAUGGGCCAAUGGGGGAAAGACUGACCCAGCCAUGCCGGGUGGGUGAUGAAGGCCUUAGGGUUGUAAAGCCCUUUCGUCGGGGACGAAAAGGACGGUACCGGAAGAAGAAGCCCCGGCUAACUUCGUGCCAGCCGCCGCCGUAA
RNAcentral lists this ribosomal RNA (450 nucleotides) under uncultured bacterium. RNAcentral's name for it is "partial 16S ribosomal RNA". It matches the Rfam family "Bacterial small subunit ribosomal RNA", at positions 29 to 523 of the family's 1533-position model. The record is from RNAcentral.